RNAcentral lists this long non-coding RNA (692 nucleotides) under Chloebia gouldiae (Gouldian finch). RNAcentral describes it as "Erythrura gouldiae (Gouldian finch) lncRNA (ENSEGOG00005007463.1)". The record is from RNAcentral. Lineage: Eukaryota; Metazoa; Chordata; Aves; Passeriformes; Passeridae.
UGUCACUGGUAAUAAAGUUUCAUAUUGCCUAUGUUACCUGUUAAUCCAAAAGGAGCAAAGUUUGAGGACGCUGCUGAAGAGCCCAGACCUGCACACAGCUGCAUUUCAGCAGCUGAAGUGCCAGCAGUAUCCCAAAAUCCUGCCUUUAUACUGAGGUUGUAGAAAUGUUCUGGAACAUGUGAUUUGUACACCAUGACUGGAAGGCUGGCUGCUUUGUGGUUCUGGCAAAAAACUGGGCUGACUCCUGUAAAAUGAGUGCACUGACACUGCCAAAGUUUUCAAAGCCUGUUUUUCCACCUUUGUUCUGUGGAUGCAGAUCUCAAACCAGUGUAACUUCCUGUUGCUGGAGCAUCAAACAUACACAAAUUCAAGAUACAGUAAAAAAAAAAAAUUCUGUUCAGACUUGUUUACUUUGAAUAAAAAUAAGAAUAUUCAUAUAAUGAAGCUUGACUGAGUGGAACCAGGUUAAGGAUGCUCCAACCAUCACGACAGUGGUGAUGAAACUGGAAGAUUUUUUUUACUAGAAGUCAGUGUCUAUUAAGUAGAACACUAAAUUACUCAGCACAGGUAUUGUUAGAGCAGUCCUGACCAAUAACAUAUUUUUAAUACCAGUGACUCUUGUUGAACUCAUCUCUGUAAUUGUUUUUGAUGAUCAAAUGAUUCAGAGUGCCCUAAAAGCAUGGCAAUAAAAG